AUACGGAGGGGGCUAGCGUUGUUCGGAUUUACUGGGCGUAAAGCGCGCGUAGGCGGUAUAUCAAGUUAGGCGUGAAAGCCCCGGGCUCAACCCGGGAACUGCGCUUAUUACUGAUAAACUAGAGUCCGGGAGAGGGUGGCGGAAUUCCCAGUGUAGAGGUGAAAUUCGUAGAUAUUGGGAAGAACACCAGUUGCGAAGGCGGCCACCUGGACCGGUACUGACGCUGGGGUGCGAAAGCGUGGGGAGCAAACAGGAUUAGAAACCCCGGUAGUCC
This 274-nucleotide ribosomal RNA is filed under the name uncultured bacterium. Its description in RNAcentral is "partial 16S ribosomal RNA". It matches the Rfam family "Bacterial small subunit ribosomal RNA", at positions 523 to 796 of the family's 1533-position model. The record is from RNAcentral.